AACGAACGCUGGCGGCAGGCUUAACACAUGCAAGUCGAGCGCCCCGCAAGGGGAGCGGCAGACGGGUGAGUAACGCGUGGGAACGUACCUUUUGCUACGGAAUAACUCAGGGAAACUUGUGCUAAUACCGUAUGUGCCCUUCGGGGGAAAGAUUUAUCGGCAAAAGAUCGGCCCGCGUUGGAUUAGCUAGUUGGUGAGGUAAAGGCUCACCAAGGCGGCGAUCCAUAGCUGGACUGAGAGGAUGAUCAGCCACACUGGGACUGAGACACGGCCCAGACUCCUACGGGAGGCAGCAGUGGGGAAUAUUGGACAAUGGGCGCAAGCCUGAUCCAGCCAUGCCGCGUGAGUGAUGAAGGCCCUAGGGUUGUAAAGCUCUCUCACCGGUGAAGAUAAUGACGGUAACCGGAGAAGAAGCCCCGGCUAACUUCGUGCCAGCCGCCGCAGUAA
Molecule: ribosomal RNA, 447 nt
Filed under: uncultured bacterium
Lineage: Bacteria
Description: partial 16S ribosomal RNA
Rfam family: Bacterial small subunit ribosomal RNA
Source: RNAcentral